ACAAAAGUUAUGUGAAUAAGAUCUCCUUUUUUCUAUCUCUCUCUCUCAAAAUACUGUAAGAUUUUUGGAUGGCAGUUGACUACAGGUAACUGAAACCACAGAAAGUGAAAUGAUAGAUAGGAGAGAACUUCUCUUCUGAAUAGAGCAGGCUCCAUUUCCGAAGAAGGUUGUGUACACCAGGGAAUAGAGAAGCUGAGAAGGUGAAUAUUGAAACUUUCCACUGUUGUGUGCUUUCUGCCGUAGAAGUUGGUGAAUUUAUCUUGACAAAUUUUUGUGAACCUCAUUCUUGCCCCACAGGCCAGAGAAUUUGUACUAUUCUGUGUUUUUCAGGAGAUGGAAUGCUGAAGAACAAGCCUUGUAUACAUUGGAGCCAUCUGAAACCAGAAAUCACCGAAAUCACACCCCUUUGAGGUUAAAGCUCUUGGCCAGCAUUCCAACACUAUCCAAGUUGAACUCUUUGAAGUCCAUGCCUUGCUAAUAAUGAUAUAGCAGAUAUUUGUCCAAAAUAAUCACUAGUGGAUUUGUAGAGAAACAUGCCUAACAGGCGAAGAUUGGGAAAUACAUAUGGUCAAUUAUAAAUUAACUAAAAAAAAAGUGCACUGCAGGAACCCAAUGAGAAGAAGUCUGUGACAUUCAGAACAAACAUACUGUAUUAAUUAUUAUUAUUCAUUCUGUAUUGCCACAAGUGUACACAAUACUACGUAAAUGGUUGACAGAACUGGAGAAAGAAUAAUAUCCUAGCCCUGGAAUGCUUAUAAUUUAUGUAAACACAUCCUUUUAUUUUGUUUUUCCAAGCCAUAUCUCUCUGAAUUGUGAUUCUGCUUAUUUUGCUCAUAUUCAUAUUUCAUCUCUGGUUCUCAUAUAAACUAAAAAAUGAGUUGUCUUAGAAGGCACACAUGUUUUUCCAAAAUGAUGAUUCUCUUGCAUAGGAUUUGAACGGUCUCAUUGGGAAUUCUGAAUAAAGAGCCAUUCCUUGGUUGGGGUCCCCCUGUAUAUCUGAAAUGAGAAAAGGGGAAUAUAUUUAAGGCCCUUUGGAGAUGAAUGGUGCUGGAAGAGUAAAGUAUUAUUAGGAACUUUUCUUGGUAGACUAUCAAAAGUCUUUGUGUUUGUAAGUGUUCCUUCUACUAUGAAAAUACAGAGGAAGCAAAGUUGAAGAGAUUAGCACCAACAUUUAUUAUUACCCAAAUUGCUUGCUAGUUCUGCCUCCUGAUCGCACUGUUAAUUCAUCAGGCUCAUUAGUUUCCCACAGUAUAUAUUCAUGCUAUAUUAUUGUUUUAUUUAAACUUACCCAUGAAAGAUCUUUAAACUGGCUUAAUUUAGAAGCUGAUUGAGUGAUUUACAUGGCCUCUCAAGUUUUUGUUCAAUAGCAAUAAGCAUUCCACAGACAGGCAAAUUCAGUAUUAACAUGAAUGUGACAUUGGAGAAAUUUCUGUUUUUAUUGUAACUACAAAUAUUGCUUGUUUUACUACCCUUUAUUUUACCAUUUGAAAACAUUUGAAAGACACAAUUUAAACCUUGAUACAAACUGUAUUAGUCUUUGAAAAAUUUCUCCUUAAAAUCAGAAACAAAAUUUGUGACUAAAUUUGGAAACUCUAAUUUGAAGAUCCUGUAUAAUAUGAUUGACAUUCAUAUAUACUUCCUGAUAUGAAAUACCAACAUUUAUAAAAAUAAAGGGGAGGCCAGGAAGAUAAGUUUGUUUUAAUUCCCCAAUAUUAAUAAGGGCCCUUCUCUGUGUGAGGCCUUAUACUAGGCACUAUUGAUACCAGGUUGAAUAAAACAGAC
Molecule: long non-coding RNA, 1782 nt
Organism: Pan paniscus (pygmy chimpanzee)
Lineage: Eukaryota; Metazoa; Chordata; Mammalia; Primates; Hominidae
Source: Ensembl